Molecule: ribosomal RNA, 1433 nt
Filed under: uncultured Bordetella sp.
Lineage: Bacteria; Pseudomonadati; Pseudomonadota; Betaproteobacteria; Burkholderiales; Alcaligenaceae
Description: partial 16S-23S ribosomal RNA intergenic spacer
Rfam family: Bacterial small subunit ribosomal RNA
Source: RNAcentral
GGUUUGAUCAUGGCUCGAUUGAACGCCAUGGGAUGCUUUUACACAUGCAAGUCGAACACCACAGCACGGACUUCGGUCUUAUGGCGAGUGGCGAACGGGUGAGUAAUGUAUCGGAACGUGCCUAGUAGCGGGGAUAACUACGCGAAAGCGCUAAUACCGCAUACGCGCCCUUCGGGGGAAAGCGGGGACCUUCGGGCCUCGCACUAUUAGGAGCGGCUGAUAUCGGAUUAGCUAGUUGCGGGGUAACGGCUCACCAAGGCGACGAUCCGUAGCUGGUUUGAGAGGACGACCAGCCACACUGGGACUGGAGACACGGCCCAGAUUCUACGGGAGGCAGGAGUGGGGAAUUUUGGACAAUGGGGAAACCCUGAUCCAGCCAUCCCGCGUGUGCGAUGAAGGCCUUCGGGCUGUAAAGCACUUUUGGCAGGAAAGAAACGGCACGGGAUAACACCCGUGCAACUGACGGUACCUGCAGAAUAAGCACCGGCUAACUACGUGCCAGCAGCCGCGGUAAUACGUAGGGUGCAAGCGUUAAUCGGAAUUACUGGCGCAAGCGUGGCGGCAGGCGGUUCGGAAAGAAAGAUGUAAAUCCAGAGCUUAAUCUUCUUGGAACCGGCAUUUUUAACUACCGAGCUAGAGGGCCGAGGAGGUGGAAUUCCGCGUGUAGCAGAAAUGUAGAUAUGCGGAGGAACACCACGGCGAAGGCAGCCUCCUGGGAUAACACUGACGCUCAUGCACGAAAGCGUGGGGAGCAAACAGGAUUAGAUACCCCGGUAGUCCACGCCCUAAACGAUGUCAACUAGCUGUUGGCCCCUGGCCCGGUAGCGCAGCUAACGCGUGAAGUUGACCGCCUGGGGAGUACGGUCGCAAGAUUAAAACUCAAAGGAAUUAUCGGGACCCGCACGCGGUGGAUGAUGCGGAUUAAUUCGAUGCAACGCGAAAAACCUCACUCUACCCUUGACAUGUCUGAACUCAGAGAUUUUGUUCUGCAGAGAAAUCAAACCGCAGCAGCACAAUGACAACGCCGAGCUUCGUAACGUGAGAUGUUAGCAGCUCCUGCAACGACGCAACCCGUCAUUAUGCGACAAGACCUAACGACGCCAAUGAUGAAAACGAGAAGGUGGAUGACGUCCGCAGUCCCCGCUGGCCUUAAAGAGUAUAGACGCUUGUUACGUCGCAUAAUGUCAGGUCGCGACCCGCGAGGGGAGCCAUCCAAGUCGACGAAUCGAUCGCAGUCUGCAACUCGACUGCGUGAAGUCGGAAUCGCUAGUAAUCGCGGAUCAGCAUGUCGCGGUGAAUACGUUCCCGGUCUUCUGUACACACCGCCCGUCACACCAUGGGAGUGGGUUUUACCAGAAGUAGUUAGGCCUAACCGUAAGGAGGGCGAUUACCACGGUAGGAUUCAUGACUGGGGUGAAGUCGUAACAAGGUAA